GGAAUAUUGCCCAAUGGGCGAAAGCCUGAUGCAGCGACGCCGCGUGAGUGUAGAAGUAUUUCGGUAUGUAAAGCUCUAUCAGCAGGGAAGAAAACGACGGCACCUGACUAAGAAGCCCCGGCUAACUACGUCCCAGCAGCCGCGGUAAUACGUAGGGGGCAAGCGUUAUCCGGAUUUACUGGGUGUAAAGGGAUCGUAGACGGCGAAGCAAGUCUGAAGUGAAAACCCAGGGCUCAACCCUGGGACUGCUUUGGAAACUGUUUUGCUAGAGUGUCGGAGAGGUAAGUGGAAUUCCUAGUGUAGCGGUGAAAUGCGUAGAUAUUAGGAGGAACACCAGUGGCGAAGGCGGCUUACUGGACGAUAACUGACGUUGAGGCUCGAAAGCGUGGGGAGCAAACA
This 399-nucleotide ribosomal RNA is filed under the name uncultured bacterium. Its description in RNAcentral is "bacterial SSU rRNA". It matches the Rfam family "Bacterial small subunit ribosomal RNA", at positions 358 to 774 of the family's 1533-position model. The record is from RNAcentral.